GCACUUUGAAUAUCUUGGCAACUGUCAGAAGAAAAAACAUCAAACUGACUGUUUUCUCCUGCUGCAUUCUCACCAUGAUACUCUCAAGACUUUACUUCUGUGAUGUGUAGUCCUCCCUCCCCACCCCGACACACCAAGCAAUUCUCUGGCAGACACCAGCACGGUGUCCUAAAUUUAAUUCAACUCUGACACUGUCUAUCUGGAAUUAGAGUCAGAUCUCACGGAUCAAGGGCUCAGUCCCACAAGACUGCCCUCUACGUCAGAUACCAAUGGCAAGUCUGGGGCUCUGAACUUCUGACCAACUGGAGAUGAAUUGUGGCCUCCUAUAAAGCCCCUCUUCUGGCUCAAGCAUUUGUUGGAAUGGCUCACAAAACUCAGGAAGGACCCACGUGUGAAGCCUGUGAGUUUGAUUGCACUGCAGGAGGACCCCCUAAAGCUACUGCUGCAAAAUGCUCCUAGAGCAAAGGCCCUUCAGGGUCCAGGUGACCAUGGUACUGCUGGCUUGGAGACCACACUCUGAGGGGCCAGAAUAGAGGCAAUUGCUCAGCUCUCCAUUUUUGUGUUAAACGCAUUUACACCCUCACUGAUUGUUUGGUGUUACAUUAUCUUCUUUCAAGGAGAAUUCAUUUGCAUGAGGCAUGUAGUGGAGGUCAAUUGUCUUUUCUGCAGUUUGCCUCACUUCUCUUAUGGAACUGCCAUGAAACCCCAUCCAUGGGCAAUGCUGCUAUUGGAUCCCACUGAUCACAGGGAUGGUCAUGUAACCUAAGUGGAGCCAGUUAGAAUAUUUCUCUGGGCCUUUCUUUUGAAAUGUAUUCAAGGAAAGAGAUUAUCUUACACUCUGACUGUAAAGAUGAGAAGACGUAAGUCCUAUAAUUACCAGUCGCCUUGAGUUCAGCCUCAUGGAGAAACACAGCAUGAAGAAUUGAAGGUGACAUUCACAAAGAAGCUAGUGAGGACAACAGCUGGGUCAGCAUUCAGUCUUUGGCACGUUCUAUCUGUGGUUUUAUCAUGUGCCAAAACCUUCCCUAUGCUGCCUAAGCUUGUUAUGUUGAAUUCCUUGGGAAACACAAAACUUUGACUUAUUCAUGCUCUGACUCAACAGUUUCACUCCAGCCCUACCAGUACCUCACUUCCCAAGAGUCCACCUCAUACCUUGAGUGUCAGAGACAUGGACCUUUUUUUCAGUUGAAAAUGUGACAGGAAUAAGUAUUUUAUAUCUUUUUUAUGAAGACUUGAAUUGUAUCAAGCCUUGGAUUUAAUGGCAUAUUAUGGAGUCUAUGAUAGAACAUCAUUUGGCUCUUUGAUAAUUUGUAAAACAAUAGAAUAUGAGCAGGAACAUUCUUGGAUUUGGUUUGUGGAACAUGAGAGAAUUAGGCUUUGUAGCUUAGAAGAUAAGUUCCUGAGAGCAGAGAAGCAGACACAUCAAUAUAUUUGAUUACCAGUAAACAGAGAAAGGAGAGCACAGGACAUUUUUAGUUGACAUUGAGGAGAAGGGAAAAGGAGAGAGCAGAACUUAAAAAAAAAGAAAA
Molecule: long non-coding RNA, 1529 nt
Organism: Homo sapiens (human)
Lineage: Eukaryota; Metazoa; Chordata; Mammalia; Primates; Hominidae
Source: Ensembl